RNAcentral lists this transfer RNA (72 nucleotides) under Priapulus caudatus. RNAcentral describes it as "tRNA-Glu". It matches the Rfam family "tRNA". Rfam says of the family: Transfer RNA (tRNA) molecules are approximately 80 nucleotides in length. Their secondary structure includes four short double-helical elements and three loops (D, anti-codon, and T loops). Lineage: Eukaryota; Metazoa; Priapulida; Priapulimorpha; Priapulimorphida; Priapulidae. The record is from RNAcentral.
UCCCAUAUGGUCUAGUGGUUAGGAUUCGGCGCUCUCACCGCCGCGGCCCGGGUUCGAUUCCCGGUGUGAGAA